AGAGUUUGAUCCUGGCUCAGGACGAACGCUGGCGGCGUGCCUAACACAUGCAAGUCGUGCGAGGACGGCGCCUUCGGGUGUCGAGCCGAGCGGCGGACGGGUGAGUAACACGUGAGUAACCUGCCCCUGUGCGGGGGAUAACCCGGGGAAACUCGGGCUAAUACCGCAUGGUCCCUCUGGGCUCCGGUCUGGAGGGGGAAAGGCGGCCUCUUUACAAUGCUGCCGUGCAGGGAGGGGCUCGCGGCCUAUCAGCUAGUUGGUGAGGUGACGGCUCACCAAGGCGACGACGGGUAGGGGGUCUGAGAGGAUGGCCCCCCACAUUGGGACUGAGACACGGCCCAGACUCCUACGGGAGGCAGCAGUGGGGAAUUUUGCGCAAUGGCCGAGAGGCUGACGCAGCGACGCCGCGUGCGGGAGGAAGCCCUUCGGGGUGUAAACCGCUGUCAGGGGGGACGAACCCCCAGCAUGGGAAUACUGUGCUGGGCUGACGGUACCCCCAGAGGAAGCGCCGGCUAACUCCGUGCCAGCAGCCGCGGUAAGACGGAGGGCGCGAGCGUUGUUCGGAAUUACUGGGCGUAAAGCGCGCGCAGGCGGAUGUGGCAAGUCGGGAGUGAAAUCCCGGGGCUCAACCCCGUGGACUGCUCCCGAUACUGCUCGUCUAGGGACCGGUAGAGGCCGGUGGAAUUCCCGGUGUAGCGGUGGAAUGCGUAGAGAUCGGGAGGAACACCUGUGGCGAAGGCGGCCGGCUGGGCCGGAUCCGACGCUGAGGCGCGAAAGCGUGGGGGAGCAAACAGGAUUAGAUACCCUGGUAGUCCACGCCGUAAACGAUGGGUGCUAGGUGCCGGUGGGAGCGACCCCUUCGGUGCCGCAGCUAACGCAUUAAGCACCCCGCCUGGGGAGUACGGCCGCAAGGCUGAAACUCAAAGGAAUUGACGG
Molecule: ribosomal RNA, 936 nt
Filed under: uncultured bacterium
Lineage: Bacteria
Description: bacterial SSU rRNA
Rfam family: Bacterial small subunit ribosomal RNA
Source: RNAcentral